GAUGAACGCUGGCGGCGUGCCUAAUACAUGCAAGUCGAGCGAACGGACGAGAAGCUUGCUUCUCUGAUGUUAGCGGCGGACGGGUGAGUAACACGUGGAUAACCUACCUAUAAGACUGGGAUAACUUCGGGAAACCGGAGCUAAUACCGGAUAAUAUUUUGAACCGCAUGGUUCAAAAGUGAAAGACGGUCUUGCUGUCACUUAUAGAUGGAUCCGCGCUGCAUUAGCUAGUUGGUAAGGUAACGGCUUACCAAGGCAACGAUGCAUAGCCGACCUGAGAGGGUGAUCGGCCACACUGGAACUGAGACACGGUCCAGACUCCUACGAGAGGCAGCAGUAGGGAAUCUUCCGCAAUGGGCGAAAGCCUGACGGAGCAACGCCGCGUGAGUGAUGAAGGUCUUCGGAUCGUAAAACUCUGUUAUUAGGGAAGAACAUAUGUGUAAGUAGCUGUGCACAUCUUGACGGUACCUAAUCAGAAAGCCACGGCUAACUACGUG
This 497-nucleotide ribosomal RNA is filed under the name uncultured bacterium. Its description in RNAcentral is "partial 16S ribosomal RNA". It matches the Rfam family "Bacterial small subunit ribosomal RNA", at positions 28 to 507 of the family's 1533-position model. The record is from RNAcentral.